CCAGGAAUCCUGUGGGGAGAGGCUGGUGCUGGGGGAAGACAGAGGAAUGCCUGGAGAGGACAGAAGUGAGGACUACACCUGUUGGUCUGGAUUGCAGCUGGAAUUGGAAGGGAAAUGCAUUUCCAUUGAAGGAAGAAGUGUAACAGUGAGCAGGCAGGUGUCAGCGGAUCUCAAGAGAAUAAUGUCAACUGGACAAUGGCUUAGAGGCAGGAGGAGGCAGAUCAGCUAGGCAGAUGUGCAGAAGUUAAGUGUGGUUUCAUGCAGAAACUUCCAAAUGGAUUCAAGAGCCAAAGCCUUCAAGAAGUUGGUGUCAUUGUCACUUGGAAUAUGUUUG
This 334-nucleotide long non-coding RNA is filed under the name Homo sapiens (human). Its description in RNAcentral is "non-protein coding lnc-VAPA-1:2". Lineage: Eukaryota; Metazoa; Chordata; Mammalia; Primates; Hominidae. The record is from RNAcentral.